ACUCCUACGGGAGGCAGCAGUGGGGAAUAUUGCACAAUGGGCGCAAGCCUGAUGCAGCGACGCCGCGUGGGGGAUGACGGCCUUCGGGUUGUAAACUCCUUUCGCUAGGGACGAAGCUUUUUGUGACGGUACCUAGAUAAGAAGCACCGGCUAACUACGUGCCAGCAGCCGCGGUAAUAC
This 180-nucleotide ribosomal RNA is filed under the name uncultured bacterium. RNAcentral describes it as "partial 16S ribosomal RNA". It matches the Rfam family "Bacterial small subunit ribosomal RNA", at positions 335 to 526 of the family's 1533-position model. The record is from RNAcentral.